UUUUUCUCUUCUUGUACUUGUUAUACCCUGUCUAAGGUUUAGACCAUAAUAAUUCUUAGGGAGUGCCUUAACCUGUACUGAAAGGUACACUGAAAAAUCUAUGGUUCUUCACAUACAUUUUGUAAGUGCAUCCCAUUUUGGCAUGUACAGCAUUAUUUCUAUACUUGUCGUCUCCUGGCUGCAUCUUACCUAUUGUGAAGUCUGAAAGUGACCAGAAGCAAUGAGAUGUGCAAUUUAGGUACAAUAUUUUGCAAGUUCAUGGUUCAAUGAAGUUAUUUUUUCAUACUAUUUUUAAUAUACAGCCCAGUCUGACUUAUAAUUGUUUUUAAAGCCUGAUUUUCUUCCCCAAAAAUAUUUUUGUAGUCUUGCCAAGAAAAAAAAAAGAUUGAAAGGUUGCAACACAGAAAGUAUCUGAUUCUUCUUUCUGCGUAUACUUAGGAAAUGCCAAACCUGGUCCUGCAAAAGAAGUUGUUAAGAAUAGCCCUGGUGGUUGUAAACCUCUGGCAUGGACUGAUCAAAGUAAUGAGCCUCAGUCUGUAAAAAUCAGGAGGGAUGAUUCUGUUCCCAUCAGCAGGAAAAUAUUAUGGAAGCCUGGCAGCAUCUCAGGAAGCCUCUGCAGAAAGAUUUCUGAGUUUCCCACCCAGC
RNAcentral lists this long non-coding RNA (645 nucleotides) under Gallus gallus (chicken). Lineage: Eukaryota; Metazoa; Chordata; Aves; Galliformes; Phasianidae. The record is from RNAcentral.